AGAGUUUGAUCCUGGCUCAGAUUGAACGCUGGCGGUAGGCUUAACACAUGCAAGUCGAGCGAGAAAGUAUCUUCGGAUAUGAGUAGAGCGGCGGACGGGUGAGUAACGCGUAGGAAUCUACCUAGUAGAAGGGGAUAGCCCGGGGAAACUCGGAUUAAUACCGUAUACCUCCUAAGGGAGAAAGAGGGCCUCUCUUGAUGCUCUCGCUAUUAGAUGAGCCUGCGUAAGAUUAGCUUGUUGGUGAGGUAAUGGCUUACCAAGGCUACGAUCUUUAGCUGGUCUGAGAGGACGAUCAGCCACAUUGGGACUGAGACACGGCCCAGACUCCUACGGGAGGCAGCAGUGGGGAAUAUUGGACAAUGGGCGCAAGCCUGAUCCAGCCAUACCGCGUGUGUGAAGAAGGCCUUCGGGUUGUAAAGCACUUUAAGCAGGGAGAAAAAGUUAUAAGUUAAUACCUUAUAACCGUGAUGUUACCUGCAGAAUAAGCACCGGCUAAUUCCGUGCCAGCAGCCGCGGUAAUACGGAAGGUGCAAGCGUUAAUCGGAAUUACUGGGCGUAAAGCGCGCGUAGGUGGUUUGUUAAGUUGGAUGUGAAAGCCCUGGGCUCAACCUAGGAACUGCAUCCAAAACUAACUCACUAGAGUACGAUAGAGGGAGGUAGAAUUCAUAGUGUAGCGGUGGAAUGCGUAGAUAGUAUGAAGAAUACCAGUGGCGAACGCGGCCUCCUGGAUCUGUACUGACACUGAGGUGCGAAA
This 754-nucleotide ribosomal RNA is filed under the name uncultured bacterium. RNAcentral describes it as "bacterial SSU rRNA". It matches the Rfam family "Bacterial small subunit ribosomal RNA", at positions 8 to 758 of the family's 1533-position model. The record is from RNAcentral.